Molecule: long non-coding RNA, 6414 nt
Filed under: Populus trichocarpa (black cottonwood)
Lineage: Eukaryota; Viridiplantae; Streptophyta; Magnoliopsida; Malpighiales; Salicaceae
Description: long non-coding RNA (PTRI_LNC002304)
Source: RNAcentral
UGGUCACAACUCCGGAUGGUAUAUUGGAUCAUGAAGAGGCUAUCAGUCGGAAUGUGGGAGGUCAGGUUCUUGGUUAUUUUCAUUAGAUGUGUCAUCUUUUCAGAUUGUGAGAACUUGGAAUCUCAAAAGGACCAUGAUGGUUCUUGUUUUCUUUUCUUUUUUUGAAGGGUAAAUUAACUUUCAAUUGAAGCCCGCAUCUCCUCUCUCUUUUAAGUGAAAUGAGUUUACUUUAGCUGUAUCAAAAGUAACAAUCAAUGGCUCCUUUAUCAUGUAGUCAAGUUCAGACUUUGCGACGCCUAGAUGAUAUCAUGGAUGUGGCAAAACAUGUUGCUUGAGAGGUUCAGUAAGAUCGAUCCAUGAAACACGAAGGAAAUUAGCUUACCAUGUGUACCUGUUGCAUACUUGAAGCAUUUUGAUUUUGAUUGCCAUUGGGAGCUCUUCAGGCUGAUUGUGCAAAGUAUGGGUAGUUUUCUCGUUUCUUAAAUUCCUCCUGUUUCAGGUCUCAGGUAAAAUCCUAUUUGUUGUGGCUUGGGAGUUGGGACCAUGGGAAUUAGCACUCUCAUAACUAAUGCGUUUUGCAGCAAGUCAAUUAAUUUUUGGUAGAAUAUCAAUAUUUUCUUGUGCAAACGACGUCAUUGAAGGAAAAAAGGCCCUUUGCUUUAUUUUAUUUUCUUUUUGAAUAAAUGAAAUGUUUUGAUUUUUUUUUCUUUUAAGAGCAUUAACAUCAUCUGAUGUUUUUUUUUCUUUUUUUUGAAGAAAGAAAUAUGUCAUUUACCUGUGUGAAUACUGAAAAGCAAUUAUUCCAGCACUUGAAAGCAUGGUUAUUAAAUCUGGUGACUCGGAUUAAUUUGAAAAGAUUUAAAAAUAUAUUUAAGAUUUUAAUAUUUUAUAUGAAAAAAUUAAAGAUAUUUUGCAUAGAUGUAAGUUAUAAAUAUAGUUCUUCAAUAAAAAAAAUAAGAAAUAAUAUGUAAAUAAAGGAUAUAUAUAUAUAUAAAAAAUAUUAUUCUACCUCGCUAGCAGAUAAAAAUUUUGUGCAGAGAAAAGUAAAAUAGUAAUUACACCAUGCAAGUUCACAAUAUAUAGUGAAACAAUGAUCUCUUCCGGAGUUUUUCAUUAUACUCAAAUUCAUUUUAACUCAUUUUUCGUGUUUUAUUUUUAAUCAAUCGGAAAUUACCCAACUGGCUCUUUUUUGUCUAAUUUUAAAAAUAAAAAUGCUAGUUUCUCUUAAAAAAGGUGUGUUUUUGUGCAUAAAAUAAAGGAAUUGGAAAUGGAUGAAGGGACUCGAUUAAAAAAAGUACGGUACCUGUGGACCUAACUUGGAAAUAUUUCUGUGCUGGUAAAUGAGAAUUGGUGGAUGGCUCGCUGCUGAGAUAACGUGGAAAAUGUUGUUUGGUUUGGCAAUUUCACUUGCGCCGGAUGGAUGCCGACCCCGCUUGAAUGGACAGUAAAGUUUAUGGAUAUUUCGUGCUUGGUUCAGUUAACUGUGUGGUUGGUAUUUAGUAUUUUUUUAUAUGAUUAUAGUUUAAAAAUUAAACAUAUAUUUGAGAUUCCAAUAAAUAUUAUGUUUUAAAGUAUUUUUUAUUUAAAAAUAAUAUUUUUUUUAUUUUUUUACCAGCAUAUCAAAAUAAUAAAAAAACUAAAAAAUUUAAUUUUAAACAAAAAAAUUUAAAUUUUUAGCGAAUAAUGUUUUUACCAUAAUACCAAACAUGCAAAAUCUUUUUAAAAAUUAUAAGUUAUAGUUUUUUUCUUAAAUAAAAUUCUAAUAAAGAGUUUCUAGCAUAAUCAUAUAAAAUCAUAAUAUAUAUUAAUUAAUUAAAUAUUUUUAAAUAUGUCACAGGGUAAAAUGCACGCAGCACAUAAACAAAUUUAGCCUAAAAUUUGAAGGUAAGAAGGUGGGUAUGGAUACUACAUUAUCUUUACCAAAACAUUACUCAAAAGUCAAUAAUGACCUUAAAGUUUAACAAAAUCACAUUUAUACCAACCUUAUAUAUUUUUAAAAAAUAAAUAACGACCCCAGGGUUUCUCCUCUUUCAACCGCCGAACACUUUCCAGCAGACAACACACGAAAAAAGAAGGGUUUUAGUCCAAUCCCCAUUGUCUUCUUUAUCUCCGGAUUUUCUCUCAAAAGAAGUCAGUUUCUCUUCUUAUCUCAAUAAUCACUCAUCCUGCAAAUAUUUAGUAAAUUUAUCUCAAUAAACAUUUAUCUCAUUUUUAUCUCUCUACGCCCCUCCGAUCUGUAUCUCCAAUAACUGUUAGAGAGAGAGCCUCUUCAGGUACAUCUCUUUCUGUCAAACUUUACGUAUUUUUGUCAUUAAGUUUAGGCUUAUGCUUAUUGAUUCCUUUUUUAUUGCUGAGAAAACUGAGAAACAGAAAGAAAGUUUUGAUUUUUUUACGGUGAAAAUGAAAUUGAAGCUAUCAAUCUUGCGACUUACAUCAGUUAUUAUUUUUGUUACUUCUCGUGACAGUUUAGAAUGGCUGUUGAAUCGGGAUCGGUAUAGCAUUUUCUAUCUUUAUCUGUAAAUUUAGUAACUGAAAUAGACUGUAAUUGUUGAUCCCAGUUUGCAAAAAAAAAGGUCUCUCUGUCGAUUUUUAUGUAAAUUUUAUCAGCCUGUUAAAUGAUUAUUUUCUGAUUUUAUUUCUGGGAGGCCAAGGAUAUGGCAGUGUUGGGAUUCCCUGGUUAAGAAUGGCUUCCUAUUGAUUUUUGGAGUACGCAUUUUAGAAACCAGAAGCUUUGCUUUCGACAGUCUUAGGUUUAUGAAUACUGUGAAAUGUGGAUAACUUUUUGAUGCUUUGUUAAAUUGUAGAUUUCUUUAUCAUAGGGAAAUAAGGAAUGAUUGAUAACUUUUAUAUUCCAGAAUUGAGCAAUACAUGUGUGAAAUCCCGGUACAUUAUAAAUACGAUGACCGAUGACCGUGGAACAUGAUUGUAAAGUCCCGAUAAAUCAAAUAAGAUGACUGGAAACAUGGUGAAAAAUUGAUAAGAAAGAUUUAAUAAAGAGGUAUUAAAUAAAAUAUUAGGAUACAUUGAAUGAAUAAUUAUGGAUGAUAAAAAUGAUUCCGGAAGUUAGCCUGAAGAUGUUGGAAAGGCCUAGGGUAAUUAAAUACAAUAAGACAAAAAUCAACUCAUUUAUUCUCUAAGAGGUGCCGGCCAGAACAGCCCAAAACAGCCCGCUCCCUUUGUUCUUCUUCACCAAAUCCGUUGCAUGUCCUUGCAAAACAAAAUGGUUGUGAGAUUGUAAAUUUGUGAGGAAGGAAGCUACACUAGAAAACAUUGAGAAAGAGAGAGAGGGACGGAUAGAGAAGAGUAAGGAAGAAAAAAAAAAUCAAAUGAGCUUGAAGAAGAAGGAGAAGAGGAAGAAGUUGUCUAGGAAGCCACAACUUAGGCUCAAAUUCGUUUGGUAAGAUGAUUUUCAUUGUUUAAAUUGUGUUCUUGGUAACAUUUGAUGGAGAUGAUGAAAAACCCCAAAUGUUAUAACCUUAGGGUUUGUAUGCAUGUUGAAAAUAGAGGUGUAAUGAAACAAACAUGUUAAAUGAACAUUGGAAGGACACAAAACUAAAGAAACUAAAGAAGAAAAUUGAAAGAAAUCAAGUGGAAAUUCCUAACCUAAGAACCGACCAGCCUUGAACAAAAAAGGGAGUGAGAGAUAUGAUUUGAAAGGGGAAAUGCUAAAUGUUUAACAAGCCUUGUGUAGGGUAAGUUGUGAUUAAAAAUGGAACUUUGGAUAAAUGGAAGGAUUGUGUGUUCUUGUAUACAUGAAAGGGUGUUCAUGGCAGGAAGGAACUUGUUGUAAACACAUCUUUAAAGCAUAGAACUAAUAUUUAGAAUGAAAAUAUGGGAAUGAUGUAAAAAGAUGAAGUAAUUGGAAUAAAAGAACUUGGAUGAAUGGGCAUAUUGGUGUUGGCCAGAUUUGGGAACAAAAAGGAGGGAUGGAAAUUUAGUUUAAAAUUAUAAUGCGAAGUGUUAACAAGUGGGUGAAUGGUGGUAAUGGUAUAGUGAUGUAAGUACAAUUAUUGCCAUUUAUCCUUAAUUAGAAGCAUCAAUGCAUUGCUAAAAUGGAUGGUAGAAUGGAGAGUAAGUGUAUGGACAAGUGUUAAUGAAUUAGAGGAAUUAGUGUGAAAUUUGUACAUGUACAUGUGAAAUUGAGGACAUCCAAAGAAAAACAAAUGGGGCCAUUCGACCAAGUUCAUAAGAUUAGGGGGGGGGAGAAGAAUAUAAAAAUGUUGUAAUGGAAUUAACAAGGAUGAAAAGAUAAGUUUUGGAAAAUAAGGAUUUUGAAGUAAAUGGGUUAAGUUAGCAUAAGAAGGGGAUAAACUAGAAGAAAUUAUGUUAAACAUUGAAAAAAACCAAGAGAAAACUCCUAACAUUAGGGAUGGACAGAUUUGGUUAAUAGGAGGAUUGUGCUUAAAGGUGCUAUAGGGAAUAUGGAAUGAAAAUACUUGGUUGAUUGUCAAAUCCAUAGAUUGAGAAGCUGGACAGUUUUGUCACCUGACUUCGAAAUGAGAUUAGAACUUGAAAAUGAUAGAAUCAGAAAUAAGUUUCUCGGAAGUUGUAGUUAGGGAUGUUAGUUUUCAAACGAAUCUGACCUUACUUAAUUUGGAGUUAUAAAACUCUAGAUAUGGAUUAAAAACUAAAGAAAAGUCAAACUGAAUCUUGCUGGACAGAUUUGUAUAAAGUGCGACAAUGGGUAAUUUUGAUUAUGUUAAUGGCGGAACUGGGUUUUUGUCCCUUCAGUAAAGUUGUAGUUUCAUAUCUUAGCUUUCAAAAAAGUCAAGCCACACCCAAACCCGAGGUCUAUAAUGUUAGUUAUGAAUAAAAUAUUGAACAUUGAUUAUGAGUGAUAACUGGUGUAGAACCUGUAAUGAGGAAAUUAGAUGAAGGAAACUAAACGGAAUCCUCAAUUAAUUCAUGGAAAUAAACUUAUGUGAAUGGAAUUCGCAAUGAUACGAGAGCUCACAUUAUAGUGAAGCUAUGAAAUGAUACUAAUAAUACCUCUUGAUUCAAAGCAUGAGAGGUGCCUGGAGCAGGAUCAUCUGUGAUAGGAGGAAACCAGUCAAUCAGAGAAGGAGGCAGGUGCAUUGCACCUCUGUCAAUUAAUUUUACCUAAAUCCUUGAUACUGAUUAUCGUUGCUUCAAUUACAGUAGGUGUCCAUAAUAAUAAGAAUAUGGGUACUGAAUAAUAUUUCAUUGACUAGUUUCCUGGUUUGGAAAUUAGUGGUGUUAGUGUGACUGGCGACCAGGAAUAAAAUUAUUGAAAUGAAAUUUAAUUUGACUAGUUUCCUGGUUUGGAAACUAGUGGCAUCAGUGUGGCUAAUGACCUGGAAUAAAUUUAUUGAAAUGAAAUUUAAUCUGACUCGUUUCCUUGUUUGGGAACUAGUGGUGUCAAUAUAUCCUCUUUGAAUGGAUGGCAGGAGAAAUAGAAAAGAAAGACAAUGGUCCAGUCAAAGAUUACUGGUUUUAUUUAAUCUCACCUUAAUUUAUCCAAAAAAAAAAAAGUUGCACGAAGGUUCUGGUUUUGUAAGAGUUUCUCGGUUGCAAAUGUAUUAGCUUUUGUCCACUGUUCUCCUUUUCUCUGCACUAUGUCCACUUGUAUGCUUUCUUGAUAUGUAUUGGAUUAUUGUUAAAAACAAACUAGUAGGUAAAUUUCAUAGCCUAUGAUUUGCUUAAUUCUGUGAUAGUAAGUGGUGAAAUUAUAGUUUUCGGGUUUAGAUUUGGGUCAGGUUGGAGUCGGGUUGAAUGAUUUUGUACAUCCAAUUAACAUCAUUAGUGUGGAAUUGAUUGAAAUGCGUCUUCAACAUUUGAUGUUGAUGGUGUGAUGGAUUACAGUUCCUUUGCAUUUGGUUUUCCAGCUUGCUGUGAAGAGAGAGAAAGAUGGGGAGGAGGAUAUUGAACGAUGCCUUGAGGGCAAUAGUGAACGCAGAGAGGAGAAGUAAAUCUACUGUGGAGUUACAGCCCAUUUCUACUGUCACGUCUUCUUUUCUUAAGAUCAUGAAAGACAGGGGAUAUAUAAAAAACUUUCAUGUUUAUGAUCCACACAGAGUGGGAAGGAUAACUGUUGAAUUACAAGGCAGGGUUACUGAUUGUCGAGCUCUCACUUACAGGCAAGACAUUAAGGCAAAGGAUAUAGAAGCUUACAGAUUGCGGAACCUUCCUACACGGCAGUGGGGUUAUGUUGUGGUCACAACUCCGGAUGGUAUAUUGGAUCAUGAAGAGGCUAUCAGUCGGAAUGUGGGAGGUCAGGUUCUUGGUUAUUUUCAUUAGAUGUGUCUUCUGUGUCAUCUUUUCAGAUUGUGAGAACUUGGAAGCUCAAAAGGACCAUGAUGGUUCUUGUUUUCUUUUCCUUUUUUGAAGGGUAAAUUAACUUUCAAUUGAAGCCCGCAUCUCCUCUCUCUUUUAAGUGAAAUGAGUUUACUUUAG